This is a long non-coding RNA of Sebastes umbrosus (honeycomb rockfish), 211 nucleotides long. RefSeq lists it as uncharacterized. The record is from RefSeq and is a predicted model, not a curated record. The transcript is spliced from 2 exons. NCBI's taxonomy places the organism in Eukaryota, Metazoa, Chordata, Actinopteri, Perciformes, Sebastidae.
AAGUACCAAGGUGAUUUUCAGUGCAGCAACAGGAGGAGGAAGAAACAACAUCGGACCGUUCAACACAGUCACAACUUUAAUCUACAGAACAGUGAUAUCAAACAUUGGUAAUGCCUACAGUCCAUCCACAGGUAUCUUCGUUGCACCUGUUGCAGGUGUUUAUUACUUCACCUUCUUCUAUCAUGCUAUUGGAACAAAUCGGGCAAAUCUG